This 253-nucleotide ribosomal RNA is filed under the name uncultured bacterium. RNAcentral describes it as "partial 16S ribosomal RNA". It matches the Rfam family "Bacterial small subunit ribosomal RNA", at positions 524 to 776 of the family's 1533-position model. The record is from RNAcentral.
GACGAAGGUGGCGAGCGUUGUUCGGAAUCACUGGGCAUAAAGCGCACGUAGGCGGUGCCGUAAGUCAGAUGUGAAAUCCCUCGGCCUAACCGAGGAACUGCGUCUGAUACUGCGGUGCUUGAGGAUCAGAGGGGUGCAUGGAAUUUCCGGUGGAGCGGUGAAAUGCGUUGAUAUCGGAAGGAACUCCGGCGGCGAAAGCGAUGCACUGGCUGAUUUCUGACGCUGAGGUGCGAAAGCGUGGGGAGCGAACAGG